Small nuclear RNA from Dromiciops gliroides (monito del monte), 107 nucleotides. The record is from RefSeq and is a predicted model, not a curated record. Lineage: Eukaryota; Metazoa; Chordata; Mammalia; Microbiotheria; Microbiotheriidae.
GUGCUCACUUUGGCAGCACAUAUACUAAAAUUGGAAUGAUACAGAGAACAUUAGCAUGGCCCCUGUGCAAGGGUGAUAUGAAAUAGGGGCCAUUAAACCAUACAUAA